UUGGCUCUUUUAAUUUUUUUUUCCUUUACCUAUCAUUGUACCUUUUUAUCAUUAUAAAAUAUGUUAUUAAUUGUAUUUCUAUUUCUUUCAAACACUUACAUGUCUAAUCUAAAGGGUAAAAGGCUGUUUGUCAAGACAUUCAUAUUUUCAAAUACAAUUUCUCUCUCACAUGCAUACAAAUGAAGGAAAAUAUUCAUAACCAAUAAUAUAAAUUAAAUACUUAAACUUCACAUUUUUUAAAAUAUAACCAUUCAUAUUAUUUUGACUCCUCUUAUCUUUUUUUUUUCUCAAAGAUAUUAAGUUAUUUUAUUUCAUCAUUGGUAGAAAUAAAACAAGCAGGUGUCUAAAUUUAGGACAAGUACAAAGAAAGUGUCUCCCAAAAUAUCACUAUUGUGAUAAAAAGGUUGCGAGAACUGAAUCGGUCAUCAAGUCGGUCAAGUGAUUAGUUCAAUAAUUUAAUCGGGGUCGAACCGUAGUUAAACCGUUUUAAUUCAAUAUACAUUCAAAUUAUUAAAAUUUAAUAUACAAAUAGAUAUUAUAGAAACUAAAGCAGUAACUAGGUAUUAUUAUUUGUACAUUUCAGUGUAAAAGAGUCAUGUAUAUCAUAAUUAAAUCAAUUUUCUCUUGUAUUUUCAAAUUCUCUUUCACUCUACAACUUCUUGGCUCUUGCACAACAAUAAACUGGUGUUGGUGCUGCAUAAUUCUCCUAUUCAAGUUCUUCAUCUCAGAACAACUCCUUUACCUUUAAUGACAUUCUUGGCAACAACAUACACUUCUUGCUUUUGGAGGCUAGAACCAAGCAGAUCAAAUUCAAUAAUCACAAAAAAAAAUUCAGAAUAACAAACUUACAUAAAAAUUCAAAUCACUGGCAACAAAAAAUUCAGAAUCAUAAAAAAUUUCAACAAAGACUUCUAAUCAAGUAUUUAAUAAUAAAAACUCAGCAUUUAAAAACAGAAAACUCGGCCUCCAAAGUAAAAAAAUACGAAAACAGAAAAACUAAAAGAAUUUAUACUCAAAACAAAGAAUCCAUACUCAGCAUCAAAGUAAAUUCAGAAUCACAUCACCAACAACCCCAAACUCAGAACACACAAUUAACAAAAUUAGCAACCACCGUUAAAAUCAACCAUCAACCCCAACUCAGAAUGCCAGCAAUCCAGAAUCCAGACCAAUAUAUCAAUUCAUAGUUCAUAUUUCACACAAUUCAUAUGGCAUUCAACAGAGCAGAAUUGAAAAAAUAAAAAAAAUUGAACAGAGCAGAAUUGAAUUUCAUAAAAGAAUUGAAGAACAGAGCAAAGCAGAAUUCUCAAAUUCAACAUACAUUAAAUUUAUUCAACAUUUGAUUAAUCAUAUAAUAAACAAAAUUUAAAAAUUUAAAAACACAAGAACAGAAGAACAGAAAUCCAGAACAAACAAUGAAAACAGAAAGAAUAGAAGAAGAGAACAGAACGACCCGCGACGAGAAAAGACAGAACAAAAUAUGAAAACACAAGAAUAGAAGAGCCAGAAGCCCAUAACUAACCGCAAGAGAAGUAGAGAACAGAAGGCCAGAAGCUCGAGCCUCGAAGUAGAGAACAGAACGACCCGCGACGUUGAGGCGACGACCCACGACGCUGAGGCAACGACCCGCAACAGUGGCGCUUGCUCCAGCGUCUGCUUCGAAUCACGACGGCGGUUGUCCUUCGUGGGCAGAAGCUCGAGCCUGGAAGAGCUUAGGGUUGGGAGUGGGGGUGUUCUUCACUUCUUCGAAGAGAUUAGCUUAUUAGGGAUUUGGGGUAAGCCUGCAACACGCGUUCUUCACUCUUCAGCCUUCAUUUUCUUUCUUUUUUUUUCUUUUUUAUAAAGCCAAACAACGCUGUUUUGCUGGCUGGGGGGAAGAACUGGUUCGCCCAGUUUGCCGAUUAACCACCGGUUUAGCCGAUUUUUUUGCCAGUUUUUUGAAGUGCGGUUUUGUAGGUGGACCGGACCGACUAGUGACCAGUUUUCGGUUAAUUCGGUUGAACCGGCCAGUCUGGUCCGAUUUUCAGAACAUUGGAUAAAAUUGACAAAUAAUUAAGGUAACGUUUGUUUUGAAGUAUUAGAACAGAGACUAGAAGACUGAGACUUAGUAUUAUGUUUGUUGACUCAAAGACUGGUACUAAAAUUUCUGUCUCUAUCUCCAAAAUUUCAGUAUUUCAGUACCUCCAAAAGGUGGGGUCACUGUAGACUGAAAUUUUUAGAGGUAGAAACUAAAAUUUGAGUAACAUUUUAUAUCUAAAAUAUUCUCAUUUCAAUUAAUUAAUUCAAAUUUUACCCUUUGUACAAAUUAAAUUAGAGCUUUAUUCUUGUUUCAAUUUCUGUCUUCCAUCUUACACCAAACACAAUAAGAGAAGAGAAGAGGAAAGUAACGGAUCUUAAGGUUGAGGGAGCAUGGAACUCCCCAGACCGUUCUGAUAGCUCCUCAUCGCUGCUGCCAUAAUCUCCACCAGGGCUUGCCUCUUCUGCUCAAAGACCAGGAGGUUCCUCACCUUCCAGAUUUCAACACACAAGUGCGCUGCUACCUCCAUCAGCUGUCGCGCAUCUGGUUGGUGAGAGAGGGUUGUCUUCAGGUUCUUCCACCAUUGAUGGAAGUGUCCCGAGUAGUUCAUCUGAAGGUAUGGCCGAAGGCAUCAAUCAUGUAUAUUAUGAGACGGAGUUCAGGACAGAAUGGUGUCUAGGAAAUUCUCUAAGGGAGCUGCCAUGCGCUUGUUGAGCGACAAAGUUGUUUCUGCAGUGGACACUCCCCCAUGACAUGUCCACGUACAAAUUACUGACCUACUUUCGCACAUACUUGGUAUACACAGAAUAGCAUACACCACACAAAGAUUUUGAAGACCCUAGUAACAACAUAUUCCUAGGUAGCUGUGGCUGAAUCAGUUAAUUUGGAUGUAACAAUCUAACAGGACCAUAUUUUAUCUGCGUUUAGCUAAUACAUAUCUAUCACGUGUAGUACAGUUAUCAGUUACAUAUAAAGUGAUAAUUACAGUGA
Arachis ipaensis is the source of this 3004-nucleotide non-coding RNA. The record is from RefSeq and is a predicted model, not a curated record. Lineage: Eukaryota; Viridiplantae; Streptophyta; Magnoliopsida; Fabales; Fabaceae.